GGAGAAGCUGCGAUAUGUUGUUUCUUACCAGCAGCGAUUCAUUCAGACCUGAGUUCUUAUCGAGUUCUUGACAGGAUUCGUGAGGUGCCUGUGAUUGGCAGUCCUCUACCAGCGCUGAGAGAGAUGCGUGUUAUAAUCUUAUCUGAGGAAACAAAGUAUAAACGCAAGAUACCAACCAAUAUGCAGUACAAAGGAUGUCAGAGAGAAAACUGAGUUGAGUGCUAAGAUAACUCCAAAGAGAAUUCCAGGAGAGAUUCUAGUACAUGGCUUUGGAAUUGUCUUCCUCCUCAUGGGCCCUGUGGCAAAUUAAAGAUAGCUGCAAAUUCUUUUUAUCAAGAGAUGAAGUCUAUGCCUUCUCUUCCUGAAUCUGGAUGGACAUCCUGUGACAAUUUUGACCAAAAUAAUUUGGCAUAAGUGAUGCUGUGCCAGUGUCCUGCACAGGCCUGUGAUACUGGCAACUUCCUUUCCUGUCUUUUGGAACCCUUGCCUUUGGCACCCUGAGCCUUUAUGUAAGAAGUUUGUCAAGUUGGCCAGAAAGACGUUAAGAAUCCACCAAAAGAAGAUGGGGAUGGGCUUAGAUGUCAGGCAUGUGAGUGACGCUAUCUUGGACCCUCCAGCACAGUCCUGCUGGAUGUAUAUCUCUGAGUGACCCCAAUCAAUGCUGUGUAAAGCUGCCCAGUUUAGCCCUGCCCAAAAUGCUGAUCUACAGAUGUGAGAUGUAGUAAAAUUAUUGUUCUUUCAGGCCAUUAAGUUUGAGAUAGUUUGUUAUGCAGUAAUAAAUGACUAGAACAGACACCUAGAAGUAA
Molecule: long non-coding RNA, 806 nt
Organism: Hipposideros armiger (great roundleaf bat)
Lineage: Eukaryota; Metazoa; Chordata; Mammalia; Chiroptera; Hipposideridae
Exons: 3
Source: RefSeq, a predicted model, not a curated record